This 6675-nucleotide long non-coding RNA is filed under the name Triticum aestivum (bread wheat). Its description in RNAcentral is "long non-coding RNA (TAES_LNC017003)". The record is from RNAcentral. Lineage: Eukaryota; Viridiplantae; Streptophyta; Magnoliopsida; Poales; Poaceae.
CUCAUCACCAGCCUCAAGCAGAACCUUUCUGCCGUCGAUGCCCCCGUCGUUGUCUUCGGCGGCUCCUACGGUGGCAGUAAGUCCAUCACCGACGCGUCUCCCCAUAUCGCCAAUUAAAUCCAUGUGUGCGACAAUCUUUUUUGAGAGAAAAUUAGGAUGGGCUAAUCUACAAUAAUAAUGUAGUCAGUGUGGAUGCAUCUUCCAAAAAUAAAGUACAGUAAAUGAUUUUAUGCCUGUCGUUUCUAGUGCUGGCUUCAUGGUUCAGGCUCAAGUAUCCCCAUGUCGCCAUAGGAGCACUGGCAUCCUCUGCUCCGAUCCUGCAGUUCUACGACAUCACCCCAUGGUCUAGCUUCAACGACGUUGUCUCGCAGGACUUCAAGGUAAUAAUGGGAAUUAAUCACUACUACUGCAUAACAUCAUCGUGCUUUAACUUCCUCAAAAGUAGGUCAACUAAUUUCUGGAUGGAUGGCCCAGUGUCACUGGUCAAAUUAUUGGUGAUGAUAACGCAUGGCAGAUCAACAUGCUCUGCUCUGGAUACUGAAUUUCACUUGUUGCCACGCCGUGUCGGCUCUGAAUUACUAUUAGUAGUGAAUUUCACUUGUUGUCGUGUUAUCAGUACCCUAGCGGCACAUUAGUGGUUUUCAGUUGUGAAUUAUGAAUUGGUGGUGGCCCUUUUCUUCAUGAGGAUGUAGCUUAACAGAUACGUUUGAUUGGAAUUUUCCAAGAAAAGAACACAUGGAAUUUAAAGUGCGUGAUUGAAAUGGCUAAUGAUGUGGAUGUCUAGGUGAUCAGGACUUACCUUAAUGAGUUCACCAGGUCUAAUGGUUCAUUUUUGGAUUAGCCUGAUUGCGACGCUCAACCGCGCAGAAGGGCUAUCAAUAGGCGGUUGCAAAUAAGGUCCUCACUUGUCCAAAGAUAUGCAAGUUGAUGAUGCCCGGUGACACAACUAUUACGUACUAAUACGGCAGAGACAAGAUAUAACAAGGAAAGGGAAUGAUGAUUCACUUGCUAGUGACAUCUUUGUCUUAUUGAUGCUUGAUUAGUAGCUGUCCCAAGUCAAGUUUCCAAAAAGAUAAAUGUGUUUAAUCAGCUUAUUCUAAGUUUGUAACAUCCAACUAAUUUUGCAGUCUGAGAGCCUGAAUUGCUUCAGUGUCAUCAAGGCAGUUUGGGAUGUGCUAGAUGAGAGGGGAUCAAACGAGACAGGGCUCUUGGAGCUCAGCAAAAACUUCAGGACCUGCAAGUAAGCUUUGUCCAACUGAUAUUGUUUUGGACAUGCAAAUCUCAUCUUGUCAACGAAGGAUAUGGACAUCAUACUUUGGCGAAUCGACAACGAUGACUCAGGUUGGUGACAUUGCUCUAUCUCAUGUAUUUUAGGACAGUGCAUUCCGUUUCUCGUCUGGGGUUGUGGCUAAGGGCAGCAUUCACCACCACUGCCAUGGUGGACUAUCUGUUAGCGGAUAAGCUUGAUAGCUGUAAGUUUGUUAGUAUCUAGCAGGUUGUUAGCUAACUUGUACCAUACGCACAUAUCUCUAAAACCGAUCGUAUCUUCCUGUUGUAAACGAUCGGUGAUGUAACCUGCAUAUAAAUAGCAAUCAGCGCCAUCUGUUUGGAUGUGCGAUCCAAUCUAUCGUGUGUUUUUACAUGGUAACAAGAGCCUAGCUUCGACGCACGUCCAGAAACUCCAUCCCUCGCCGCGAUGUCCACCUCUCCCAACACCUCCGCGUCCACCGCAUCGACAACCAUUAGCUCCCAGCUUUCCGCCACUGCCGGUGCUCUCACCAAUUCCUCUGUCUCAGUUGGGUCGAUGAUGACCGGGCAGGUCGGCGUGCCCAACCUCGCCCAGCUGGUGACGGUGAGACUCUCAAGGAAAAAUCACCUCCUCUGGAAGGCCCAGAUUGUUCCCAUCCUGCGGGGGCAUCAGCUUCUCGGCUUCGUCAACGGCGAGAGCACCCCCCCGGCGCGCCUCAUUCCCGCCUCCACCGCUGAAGGGGCGGAGAUGGCGAUCAACCCAGCCCAUACGGUCUGGCACGCCCAGGACCAGCUGCUCCUUGCCGGGAUCCUCUCCACACUCUCGCCCGACAUCAUUGCGCGCACGCUGAACUUCACGACAUCGGCGCAGAUAUGGGCAGCACUCGAGCGCAUGUACGCCUCGCAGUCUCGCUCCAGGAUCAUGCAGCUUAAGAGGCAGCUUACGCACGCCCAGAAAAAGGACAUGAACAUGGCUGAUUAUUUUGGCCAUGUCAAGGGUCUCGCUGACCAGCUUGCUGCGGCCGGCAGCCUCGUCUCCGAGACUGAUGUGAUCGACUACAUGUUCACAGGCCUUGAUAACUCGUACGACGCCCUCGUCACAUCGAUCAAUCUGCUGCUGGCCAACGGUGGCAUCUCUCUCGAUGAAGUGUACUCGCACAUGCUGGAUUACGAGGCGCGUCAAGACAAUGCCAACACCGGCUAUCAGUUGUCAGCCAAUCUUGCGGGACAAGGCAACGGCGCUCGAGGCGGCGGCAACGGUGGAGGUGGCUCCUCUGGCGGCAGCGGCGGCCGCAAUCGCAACAAUGAUGGCCGGAACCAGCAGGGAGGCAACCGUCGCAACGGCGGCAACAGCGGCGGCGGCGGUAACUCUGCUGCAGGCAACGGCUCCAAUGGCCAACCAGCCGGCGGUCACCAAGGCGGCUACAACAGGAGGAACUCCAACUCCGAUCGUCCGCGGGUGCCAUGCCAAAUCUGCAACAAGCUCGGCCACUCUGCAAGGACCUGUUAUGAUCGCUACAACCACAACUCCCAGCAGGAGGAUGCACGUUUCGCCAACAACAUCUCUACCGGCUCUCCGGCACUUGACCCAGCGUGGUACAUGGACUCCGGCGCCACCGACCACAUCACCGGCGACUUAGACAAGCUGCACAUGCGUGAGCAGUACACCGGCAAGGACCAAGUGCAUACAGCAAAUGGAACUGGUAUGGCUAUUACUCAUGUUGGAAAAGCCCUUCUUCCUACACCGCAUGCACCUCUUGUCCUUAACAAUGUUCUUCAUGUUCCACAUACCACAAAAAAUCUUUUAUCUACUGAUCGACUCACCUCUGAUAACAAUGUUUGCGUUGAAAUUCAUCCUCUUUAUUUUCUUGUCAAGGAUCGAGCUUCGAAGAGGGUUCUUCUUCACGGACCUAGCGAAGGUGGUCUCUAUCCAGUUCGUCCCAUGCAACCAAGUAGGAAUAAAACGGCGUUCUCUGCCGUCACCAAGCCCAGUCAUGAUCGGUGGCACUGUCGACUCGGUCACCCCUCCUCACGGAUAGUAGAUCAUGUCUUAGGUCAUUUUAAUCUUCAGUUUAAUCGUGAGUCAAAUAAAGCACAUGUAUGUGAUGCAUGUCAGCAAGGGAAGAGUCACCAACUUCCUUAUGCCAGUUCUUCUAGGGUCACUUCAUUUCCUCUUGAGCUUAUUUUCUCUGACGUUUGGGGGCCUGCGUGCACCUCGUCAGGAGGUUUUAGCUACUAUGUGAGCUUCAUAGAUGAUUUUAGCAAAUUCACUUGGUUGUUCUGUCUUAAGCAUAAAUCCGAUGUUUUCAAUAUCUUUCAUCGCUUUCAAUCUCAUGUCGAACGUCUCCUUAAUCGGAAAAUCUUGCAGAUUCAGACCGACUGGGGAGGGGAGUACCGUAAGCUUAAUACUUUCUUCCAAAACAUCGGCAUUGAACACCACUUAUCCUGCCCACACACACACCAACAAAACGGGUCAGCGGAAAGAAAACACCGCCAUGUCGUCGAAACUGGCCUCACCUUGCUCGCCCAAGCUUCCAUGCCAUUACGAUUUUGGGAUGAUGCGUUUCAUACCGCAUGUUUUUUGAUCAAUCGUCUUCCUACCCGUACUAUUAAUAUGAAUACCCCCCUGCAACGCUUAUUUGGCACCGCUCCAGACUAUACUUUCCUUCGUACUUUUGGCUGUGCCUGUUGGCCGUGCCUUCGCCCCUACAACAAUCAUAAACUCCAGUUUAGGUCCAAGCGUUGCGUCUUUCUCGGGUACAGUAGCACACACAAGGGUUACAAAUGCCUUCAUGUUUCGUCUGGCAGGGUGUAUAUCUCGCGGGAUGUUGUAUUCGAUGAGCAGUCUUUUCCCUAUGCUGAUCCAUCCAAAUCAGACUCACUACCCCCGUCAUAUGACGAGCUUCGUCUACUUGCUCCACCUAAAGUUUUUGAUCCUGUCAUAUCAACCGCUGCGGUGGAAGAAGAACCUUCUCCUAUGGGUGAUACUGUACCUAUUUCAUCUAAUGUAACGCAUGAGGAUCCUUGUUUGGUUUCUCUUUCUCCUGUGCAGGCGCCUACAUCAACAGUGCCAUGCAGCCGAUGUGAUCUCGUCAUGCAGGAACCAGCCAGGGCGUCAUCCGGCCCAACUGACUCGGUUUUGGCUUCCCCCGUUCGGGCGACUACGCCUGGACCAGUCUCGCCCGCUCGGCUGGCCUCUGCUGAGCCGGCUGCCUCUCCACCACCGGUGUCCGACUCCGACUCCUUCGAGCUCCUUCAGCAGCCGGUUUCGCAGAUUGAAGUGCGCGCACCCGCUCCAGCCGAUGCGUCUCGUCGGUAUGCCACUCGCCUUUGCGACGGCACUCGCCGUGAGAAGGUGCGCACCGACGGCACCAUACCAUAUGGUCCACAACGACGACGGCGGCAAGUUUCGCUGGCCAUGGUUGAACCCGCCAAUCAUCUUGAUGCUCUUGCGGACCCUCAUUGGCGGUCCGCCAUGGACGUGGAAUACCAGGCGUUGCUCAAGAACCAGACCUGGCACCUCGUUCCUCGGCCUCCUCGCUGCAACCUCAUCGACUGCAAAUGGGUUUUCAAACUCAAGUAUCGUGCCGAUGGCUCCAUUGAUCGUCAUAAGGCUCGUCUCGUCGCCAAAGGGUUCAAGCAACGCCAUGGCAUCGACUAUACAGAGACAUUCAGUCCAGUAAUUAAGCACACCACUAUUCGCCUGGUUAUUUCUCUUGCAGUUUCACGUGGUUGGGUGCUUCGCCAAUUGGACGUGCAGAAUGCGUUCCUCCACGGCAUUCUCGAAGAAGAUGUAUACAUGAAGCAACCACCAGGAUAUGUUGAUCCACAGCUUCCGCAGCACGUGUGCAAAUUGGACAAAUCACUAUAUGGUCUUAAACAAUCCCCCCGGGCCUGGUUCUCUCGGCUGAGUGCAAAGCUUCAGGAGCUUGGUUUCCAUCCCUCUCUUGCUGACACGUCCCUGUUUAUCUAUCAUCAAGGGGGCGUAUGUAUGUACAUGCUGAUCUACGUCGAUGAUAUCAUCAUUACCGGUUCGUCGUCGAAAGCGCUCACAUCACUUGUCCAUAGUCUGCAUGAACCUUUCGCCCUGAAGGACCUAGGCGACCUCCACUAUUUUCUGGGAAUUGAGGUGCAGCGCCAGGGGGAGUCUAUACUUCUGAAACAGGCCAAAUAUACAGCUGAUCUUUUGAGAAAAGCAGGUAUGACAUAUUGCAAGCCAGUUACUUCACCAAUGUCCACCUCUGAAACUUUGUCUCGUGAAGGAGGACAACUUCUGUCACCCGAAGCAGCCACGAGAUAUCGGAGUAUUGUAGGGGCACUACAAUAUCUGACUUUGACACGUCCGGACAUUAGUUACGCCGUGAACAAAGUAUGCCAAUAUCUCCACUCGCCCGCAGAAGCACACUGGACGGCAGCAAAACGCAUCCUGCGAUACCUGAGACACACAUCAGGCAUAGGACUGAAAAUCAGCAAGUCUACAUCCACUUUGCUUAGUGUGUUUUCAGACGCUGACUGGGCUGGAUCGACCGAUGACAGGCGCUCUACCAGUGGCUUCGUAUUAUUUUUCGGCUCUAAUCUGGUGUCUUGGAGCGCGAGAAAACAGGCUACGGUAUCUCGGUCAAGUACAGAGGCCGAAUACAAGGCGCUGGCAAACGCAACAGCAGAGCUGAUUUGGCUUCAAAUUCUACUCGGCGAGCUCGGCAUACGGCAAUGGAGACCGCCAGUGUUGUGGUGCGACAACAUAGGAGCGACGUACUUGUCAGCCAAUCCGGUAUUCCAUGCACGCACCAAACAUAUCGAGGUUGAUUUCCACUUUGUUCGGGAGCGAGUAGCUCGCAAGGCAUUGGACAUACGAUUCGUGUCGUCCCAAGAUCAGCUUGCCGAUGGCCUGACCAAACCGAUUGGCGCAGCACAGCUCCGACUUCUGCGACACAAUCUCAAUCUCUCGGGAGCUGAGAUUGAGGGGGAGUGUUAGCGGAUAAGCUUGAUAGCUGUAAGUUUGUUAGUAUCUAGCAGGUUGUUAGCUAACUUGUACCAUACGCACAUAUCUCUAAAACCGAUCGUAUCUUCCUGUUGUAAACGAUCGGUGAUGUAACCUGCAUAUAAAUAGCAAUCAGCGCCAUCUGUUUGGAUGUGCGAUCCAAUCUAUCGUGUGUUUUUACACUAUCCAACCCCAGCCAAUUUCAUGAUGAAUCUGCCUGCUUAUCCUGUGAAGGAGGUUAGCCUCAAGCAGAACCUCUCCGCCGUCAACGCUCCCGUCAUCGUCUUUGGUGGCUCCUAUGGCGGCAGUAUGUCCAUCACCGACACGUCUCCCCAUAUCGCCAAUUAUAUCCAUGCGUGUGAUAAUUUUUUUGAGAGAAAAUUAGGAUGAGCUAAUCUACACUAAUAAUGUUGUCAGUGUGGAUGGAUCUUCCAAAAAUAAAGUAC